Molecule: long non-coding RNA, 1260 nt
Organism: Cryptomeria japonica (Japanese cedar)
Lineage: Eukaryota; Viridiplantae; Streptophyta; Pinopsida; Cupressales; Cupressaceae
Exons: 3
Source: RefSeq, a predicted model, not a curated record
CAUGGUUAAAAUCAUAUCCCUGAGGCGGUCUUAAAUACCAUCAUCCCUCAGGCGUGAAGAUGGAUUCUCUGACUCACCAUGCCACGUGCGCUUUAAUGAUUAGUCUUAACCGUUUGCCUUCGAAUCCUCUGCAUCUUCACCUUUUUUACUGUGUUGAAAACAGGCAAUGCUCUGCAGUCAUUCUCAGAAAGGGUGAGAAAAACGAAUCAGAAGUUUGCAGUAUCCAUUUAUAGCAGAUUAAAGAACCCACCAGCCAAUCAAAUUGUUUGAUCUGAACCGACAUAGUAACCACUGAGUUAUUUAAUCUGAAUUGUUGGAAAAAAAAAAUCAAUUUUAUCUGUUCGGUGUGUUUCUAUAAUCUGCUGGUUUUGACCCGGGGGAUACGGAGAAAUUGGGAUUCUAUAUACUUUCUGUCUAGAUUCAGAAGAAUGCUCUUUCGCUUCCUGGUCACUCCAAGGAUGCAGUUUGACCUCUGGAAGAACACAAGAGUUCGAGCGUAAUCUGCAAGGGUGUAGCAAAUCAGGAACAAAAGGAUUUAUUCCAGUUGCAUCUUGAUAUGGAGAUGAAUGUGUCUUUUGGAGCUGGAAAUGGAAAUCAAACGGACGGGAAGGUCUGGCAAGAUUUUCAAAAAAGUUUCUCUCAGGUACAGAAUAUUCUAGAUAAGAAUCGUUUACUGAUUAAUGAGAUCAAUCAGAACCAAGAGUCCAAGGUCCCAGAUAAUCUAACCCGAAAUGUGGGCAUGAUACGAGAACUUAACAACAAUAUCGGAAGAGUAGUUGACCUUUAUGCUGGUCUCUCUAGCACAUUUGUAAAGGACAUUGAAACAUCAUCAGAAGGAGAUUCAGCUGGGACUUCAAGUUCUGAUAGGAAUGCUGGAGUUGCUUCUGGACAGAAGAGAAAUCGUCCUACUUAGGAUGAUAGAGUUCUCUUGCUUUUAUUAGGCAGUUUCUCUGAUUUCCUUCAGCACAUUUGUCUAGACCGAUCUCUUUGAAACUUCCCAACAUGAAACCCAUUUUAUAGUGGAGGAAGUUUGUGAGUGCUUACAGAAGUAUCUGAUACAAGGUGUUGAAGGAGAUAAUUUGUAUCUUAAGGUGAUACAUGCAGAAAAUUAACUUAAAGUUAUUUGCUGUGUGUGUGAGUGGAUUGUUAUAUCCCUUUCCAGGGGUUCGUUGAUACACUUAAUUUGUUUUCUGAACUUCUUGUGAUUUUUAUGAAUAGAAACAGGAAUGUUUCAGGAUAAAUUUUCUCAAGUUUCAUCAA